Molecule: transfer RNA, 90 nt
Filed under: Verrucomicrobiales bacterium
Lineage: Bacteria; Pseudomonadati; Verrucomicrobiota; Verrucomicrobiia; Verrucomicrobiales
Description: tRNA-Ser
Rfam family: tRNA
About the family: Transfer RNA (tRNA) molecules are approximately 80 nucleotides in length. Their secondary structure includes four short double-helical elements and three loops (D, anti-codon, and T loops).
Source: RNAcentral
GGAAGGGUGGCUGAGUGGUCGAAAGUACCUGACUCGAAAUCAGGCGUAGGUUAACCCCUACCGGGGGUUCGAAUCCCUCCCCUUCCGCCA